UACCUGCAGCUCGAGUGGUAACCGCUAUUAUUGGGCCUAAAGCGUCCGUAGCCGGUUUGGUAAAUAUCUGGGUAAAUCGUGAGGCUUAACUUCACGAAUUUCGGAUAGACUGCCAGACUUGGGAUCGGGGGAGGUCAGAGGUACUCCAGGGGUAGCGGUGAAAUGCUGUAAUCCUUGGAGGACCACCGGUAGCGAAGGCGUCUGACUAGAACGAGUCCGACGGUGAGGGACGAAGCCCUGGGGCGCAAACCGGAUUAGAUACCCGGGUAGUCCAGGGUGUAAACAAUGUGGGCUUUGUAUUGGAGAUCCCACGUGGGUGUCCAGUGCAGAAGAGAAGUUGUUAAGCCCACCGCCUGGGAAGUACGGUCGCAAGGCUGAAACUUAAAGGAAUUGGCGGGGAGCGCAGCAACGGGAGGAGCGUGCGGUUU
Molecule: ribosomal RNA, 428 nt
Filed under: uncultured archaeon
Lineage: Archaea
Description: bacterial SSU rRNA
Rfam family: Archaeal small subunit ribosomal RNA
Source: RNAcentral